RNAcentral lists this ribosomal RNA (491 nucleotides) under uncultured bacterium. RNAcentral's name for it is "partial 16S ribosomal RNA". It matches the Rfam family "Bacterial small subunit ribosomal RNA", at positions 29 to 507 of the family's 1533-position model. The record is from RNAcentral.
GUGAACGCUGGCGGUAGGCCUAACACAUGCAAGUCGAACGGCAGCACAGUAAGAGCUUGCUCUUACGGGUGGCGAGUGGCGGACGGGUGAGGAAUACAUCGGAAUCUACUUUUUCGUGGGGGAUAACGUAGGGAAACUUACGCUAAUACCGCAUACGACCUACGGGUGAAAGCAGGGGAUCUUCGGACCUUGCGCGAUUGAAUGAGCCGAUGACGGAUUAGCUGGUUGGCGGGGUAAAGGCCCACCAAGGCGACGAUCCGUAGCUGGUCUGAGAGGAUGAUCAGCCACACUGGAACUGAGACACGGUCCAGACUCCUACGGGAGGCAGCAGUGGGGAAUAUUGGACAAUGGGCGCAAGCCUGAUCCAGCCAUACCGCGUGGGUGAAGAAGGCCUUCGGGUUGUAAAGCCCUUUUGUUGGGAAAGAAAAGCAGCAGGUUAAUACCCCGCUGUUCUGACGGUACCCAAAGAAUAAGCACCGGCUAACUUCGUG